RNAcentral lists this unclassified non-coding RNA (329 nucleotides) under soil metagenome. RNAcentral's name for it is "partial contains 5.8S ribosomal RNA, internal transcribed spacer 2, and large subunit ribosomal RNA". The stretch from base 1 to 120 matches the Rfam family "5.8S ribosomal RNA", at positions 35 to 154 of the family's 154-position model. The record is from RNAcentral.
GAUGAAGAACGCAGCGAAAUGCGAUAAGUAAUGUGAAUUGCAGAAUUCAGUGAAUCAUCGAAUCUUUGAACGCACAUUGCGCCCCCUGGUAUUCCGGGGGGCAUGCCUGUCCGAGCGUCAUUACAACCCUCAAGCUCAGCUUGGUGUUGGGCCCCGCCGCCCCGGCGGGCCCUAAAGUCAGUGGCGGUGCCGUCCGGCUCCGAGCGUAGUAAUUCUUCUCGCUCUGGAGGUCCGGUCGUGUGCUCGCCAGCAACCCCCAAUUUUUUUCAGGUUGACCUCGAAUCAGGUAGGGAUACCCGCUGAACUUAAGCAUAUCAAUAAGCGGAGGA